ACCAGGUACAGGGUAGUCCCUAGUCGACCCCUCUUGACUUGUAUUCCAGUUACUGCCUGUCUGGGCUGUCUGUCUUUCCGUCUGGCUUUUGCCAAUUUUGUGACUUAUAGAAGCACAUAUUUAGCCAAACUUUUCGUUGAGUUGGCCAAGUUAAAUAUAUCUUAUCCGUUUCGCCAGCUGUUUGUGCGAUUCAACUUGACGCUUCGAGCCGGCAACUGCAGCCACAAUCUUUUGCGGCUUAUCAGCUGACGCCGCUCUCCCUCUCUCUCUUUCGCUCUCCCUCUCUCUUUUGCUCUCUCUCUGACUGCGUUUGCUUUCGCAUUUGCAAACUUCAUGCAACAUUCGCGUAUCACAGUUAACCGUUAACAGUUGCCAAUUUCAAUCGCGUUAAUACAGUGCGCGCGUUCGCGUUAUUCGCAAUUCCUGGCCAUAAAGUUGAGACCAGCUAAAUAAAUCCGUGUACAUAUGUGUGUGUGAGCUACUACGGAUUUAUAUAUAGAAAA
Molecule: long non-coding RNA, 503 nt
Organism: Drosophila montana
Lineage: Eukaryota; Metazoa; Arthropoda; Insecta; Diptera; Drosophilidae
Exons: 2
Source: RefSeq, a predicted model, not a curated record